Molecule: ribosomal RNA, 253 nt
Filed under: uncultured bacterium
Lineage: Bacteria
Description: partial 16S ribosomal RNA
Rfam family: Bacterial small subunit ribosomal RNA
Source: RNAcentral
UACAGAGGUCUCAAGCGUUGUUCGGAUUCAUUGGGCGUAAAGGGUGCGUAGGCGGCGUGGUAAGUCGGGUGUGAAAUCUCGGAGCUUAACUCCGAAACUGCAUUCGAUACUGCCGUGCUUGAGGACUGGAGAGGAGACUGGAAUUUACGGUGUAGCGGUGAAAUGCGUAGAUAUCGUAAGGAAGACCAGUGGCGAAGGCGGGUCUCUGGACAGUUCCUGACGCUGAGGCACGAAGGUCAGGGGAGCAAACGGG